RNAcentral lists this unclassified non-coding RNA (210 nucleotides) under Hevea brasiliensis (rubber tree). The record is from RNAcentral. Lineage: Eukaryota; Viridiplantae; Streptophyta; Magnoliopsida; Malpighiales; Euphorbiaceae.
GUGAACUUGAUCGAGCUUUCUCCCAAGGCCGUUCAUCGAUAGACUCUUCCCAAAUGACACAAUCUCCACCACACUGAUGACAAGUUAUCAUACCCUUUCCAUUACACAACGAACAAUCUAAGUUGGAUCUCUCGAUUCCACAUUCAGUACAUGAAGUGUAGCCUCUUCCUCUGCAGCUUGGACAAGGCAGUUCUCUUAUAUACUGUCCAU